GAAAUAGUCACUGCAAUCAGUCACGUCUCGUACCUCCAACAUUUCGGUUGACGGACAAAAAUUUGAAUCUCCCUCAUAAAAUAGACGACAAUGCGUUAGUUAUUAAUUAAUGCGUUAGUUAUUUAAUUAUUAACUUUCAAAUAUUAUUUACAUCAGUCAUUACGCAGAAUUACGUUUUGUAAAUACAGGCUAAUUGUAUGCAGCAGUGGAUCAUAUAUUAAAUUCUUGGGUAUAUGCUUGAAAGAGUCUUUAUUACCCAAUGAACUAUUACAUUAUUUGAAGAGAUUUUCCGUUGAAGUAAAAGCAGACAGUGUAUGAUGUAAGUUUCUUGAUUAUCUUUCUGUACUAUGAUCUGUUGAAAAGUAAACUCAUAAAUAUUCAAUAUAACAUAUAGAAUCUGCCAUGCUGUAGAGCUUUAAUGAGGAUUUAUACACCGCUUCUACAAAUAUCCCCGCGCGAUUUUUGUCUUUAAAUUUAGACAAUCAUGGAAAUAAUAUCCGUAGACUUUUUUAAAACGCAUCUUGCCUUACUAUUUUGUAAAGCCAUUUUAUCUUUAGUUAAUAGAAACGUCCAUGAUCGCUAGAAAUAGUAACUCCCCCCCUCCCCCUACCACAAUGUUGGUUCAAAGCAUGGUUAUUGGACCACAAACCAACAUUGUAAACGGGGAGGGGGGGAAAUUGGGAGAUUUUUGAAAAGUCUACGAAUUAAUUUCCAUGAUUGUGCAUGGGAGAGUCCUGGGGCAUGCUCCCCCGGAAAACUUUCAAUUCCGACUCCAC
Non-coding RNA from Paramuricea clavata, 776 nucleotides. NCBI's taxonomy places the organism in Eukaryota, Metazoa, Cnidaria, Anthozoa, Malacalcyonacea, Plexauridae. The record is from the annotation of a GenBank genome assembly.